This 30-nucleotide non-coding RNA is filed under the name Mus musculus (house mouse). The record is from RNAcentral. Lineage: Eukaryota; Metazoa; Chordata; Mammalia; Rodentia; Muridae.
UGUACAGUCAAUCUCAGUACCAGAAGGGAC